RNAcentral lists this ribosomal RNA (445 nucleotides) under uncultured bacterium. RNAcentral describes it as "partial 16S ribosomal RNA". It matches the Rfam family "Bacterial small subunit ribosomal RNA", at positions 354 to 796 of the family's 1533-position model. The record is from RNAcentral.
GUAAGGAAUAUUGGUCAAUGGACGAAAGUCUGAACCAGCCAUGCCGCGUGGAGGAUGAAGGUCCUCUGGAUUGUAAACUUCUUUUAUAUGGGACGAAAAAAGGCUUUUCUAAGUCGUCUGACGGUACCAUAUGAAUAAGCACCGGCUAACUCCGUGCCAGCAGCCGCGGUAAUACGGAGGGUGCAAGCGUUAUCCGGAUUCACUGGGUUUAAAGGGUGCGUAGGUGGAUUGCCAAGUCCGUGGUGAAAUCUUCGAGCUUAACUCGGAAACUGCCAUGGAUACUGGUGAUCUUGAAUAUCGUGGAGGUUAGCGGAAUAUGUCAUGUAGCGGUGAAAUGCUUAGAUAUGGCACAGAACACCAAUUGCGAAGGCAGCUCACUAAGGCGAUACUGACGCUGAGGCACGAAAGCGUGGGGAUCGAACAGGAUUAGAAACCCGGGUAGUCC